CGUUGUUUGCGCAGGGCGCACACUCUACGUGACAAGCACGCGCCAGCCAGUAACGCGCGGCUCUCUUCAAUGGCCUCUUCAAGGGAGCGGCUAGAUUGGUAACAACGACCGGCCUUUCCUCGUCGUUUCUCGAGUGAUCUUGCAGACCUGCUUCAGCGGCUAGAUUGCAAAGGGUAUGAAAAGAAAGUGCCACCAGCUCCGACGUCAUUGCCGGUCUUCUUAGUGCACUCGUUCCGAUCCGAAUACUGCAACCGCAGUUCGGAUCAGCAUGGCGGUUCGGGAACUGAAGUUUCCGUAGCAGUCACUGACUUUGGGACCCUCUGCAUAUUACCCGCCACAUAAUCAUUGUUCAUUGAAUGGAUA
Dermacentor albipictus is the source of this 363-nucleotide long non-coding RNA. RefSeq lists it as uncharacterized. Lineage: Eukaryota; Metazoa; Arthropoda; Arachnida; Ixodida; Ixodidae. The record is from RefSeq and is a predicted model, not a curated record.